Lathyrus oleraceus (garden pea) is the source of this 4382-nucleotide long non-coding RNA. RefSeq lists it as uncharacterized. Lineage: Eukaryota; Viridiplantae; Streptophyta; Magnoliopsida; Fabales; Fabaceae. The record is from RefSeq and is a predicted model, not a curated record. The transcript is spliced from 6 exons.
AUUUUAUGGAUGGACCAUCAUUCAUUUCACACGUGAUGAAUUUUAUUCCCCCUUUUCAAACGCCUAUAAGGUUUCCUUGAUGAGAUUUAUUUGGUAACCAAUGUGUGUCUAAUCCACCUCCUCUGCCCUUUUAGCCACCGCCAUCUAAAGUCGAUCAACCAUCGUUUUGCAGUCAAUUUUUACCUGGACAUUCUUCAACCCCAUAAUCUGAGCAAAUUGCAACGCGUUGAUGAUUGCUUGAUUUUCAAUUGCAAGAGGAUUGUUAAAACCAUAUUGAUUUCGAGUGAUUUUCAUAAUAAUCUCCUUCUCUUGAUUGUAAAGGAUUGCACCUAAGUUUCAUUCCCCUUCAAUGGUUGUAUUAGCAUCAGUAUUAAAGGUUGUUACCGAGCUUCACCCAUGAUUUACCUUUCUCCCUUGGAUACUUCCUUGAGAGAUCCUCGCCUCCUGCUUAUUAUUCUUCUGAUUCCAGGUCAUGCUCUUAGUAUGUCUUUUAUGCUUGGUUUUUUGUUGUUGUAUCUUCUCCCAAAGUUUGUUUGAAUCCUCGUUGCUACCUUCAUCCCUGUCAACUUUUCUAGAAGAUGUAUCAUGCUCUUGGGUGACAUAUGAGUUUCUCUCACUAUCUUUACUCAAGUACCUCCCCUUGUCUUCCAUGUUAAACUUCUUUCUUACGUCUUUGGCCCUAUUAAUUUUUAUCUCCUUAUUCAGACACUGAGUAUUCACCUGCUGGUUUGCUUUCCUAUUAUCCAGAUUGUCAGGGUUAGUUUCCCUAAUAACUAGAGGCACAUUGUAAUGAGGAGAAUUUUUAUUGUAAUCCCAAAUGUUCAACUUAUGGGAGAUGUUGCUAUCAUAAUUCCCUCGGCUAUUGACAUAGCCACUACCACUGCCACAUUUCCCUUCUCAACCAUCCACUAAGGCAUGUAUGUUAUAUUGGCUAAACCCCCCCCCCCCUGUUUUCCAAUGGAAUUCUACCAGAUUUUAUCAGUACUCGCCAUUUUGUUCCUACCCUCGUUGAAGUAGAAUUUUGCCGGUAAACAGUGUUAUCCAGCUUGGAAAUAUUGUCUUGGACUUGAUUCUGUCUAGUGUUAUGAUUGGUACCAUUGUUCCUACUAUUGUCCGCUUUCAAGUGAUACCUUUUCAUAUUAUUAUCUUGACAUUUGUUAAUUUGUUGCUUGUGUAUAGUAUCAUGUUGAGUGUUGCUAUGAUUGUGAUUUAAUCUUGUUCUAGUUGUGCUUUUGAACUUUGUUUUGCCAUGUUCGAUUGUUGUCUUGAGUUUGGGUGUUAAGGUUGAUUUUGAUAGAGAUAUUUAUGUUGUAUUCAACGUAGUUUAUAACGUCCUCGGUAGCCAUCUCCUUGUCUUCAAAAGAAUUUGUUUCUCGUCCACCAUAUGUUAUAUGGGAUGACCAUAACAUCCCUAAUAGUAUUUUUAUCUUUGUUCUUUAUCAAGUCCCAUAUCCACUAUUUAAUAUGGUACUCGUAAUUAUUGAAAUUGAUGUUAAGAUGAGAACCAAACAAAACUUUCCUAGCCCAGUCACAAUUUUUGAAAAUAUGAUCCAUAGUAUUCCCUUCAGUCAUACACAUAGGACAUAAUAGAGGAUAAUUCAUACCUCUUUUGCUUAUCUCCAUCUUGACCGGUAUUUCCUUGUUAAGAAUAAACCAACACAUAGUUUUAAUCUUAGGAAGAGUAUUAAUACUCCACGUUUUGUUCUAUGUAUGCUCCUCAUCUAUAAAGUUUGAGCAGUUUGGGUUAGAAGAAUAGACCAUAUUAUGGAAGUAAUGGUAGUCGAUUCUGACCAUAUAAAUGCCUUUUUUGUUUUGUAUCCACAUAAUUGAGUCCUCUUUGUUUUGAUCAUCUAAUGGAAUUUGGAGAAUUAUGUCUCUAACAUAGGUGUUAUGGCGCGAAAAAUACCUGAGUGCAUCGCACACUUGAAAUACAAUAGAGGCGCCACUGAAUUAUAUUUAUUCUAAAGGAAAUGGAAAAUAUCGAUAAAACCCACAAAAAAAUAAAUGGUCUUCGCAACCAAGAGCAGAUUCGGGAGUCAUAUAUGCAAGGGGAAGGUAUUAGCAUCCAUCACAUCCAUUAUACUCGACGUGACCCAUUUAGUUAGUUAUGCAAAUGAGUGUUAGCGUGAUGUUAGUUUGCGAUCUUCUAUCUAUUAAGUGAGAAAGAAAGAAAGAAAGAAAGGUUUUUUAUUAUUAUUGUGCCUGAAAAGAUUUCAAAAUCCAGCUUCUACAUAUCUCCAGGUGCGAUGGAGAACUUAAGGCUACGUAGUUCUUUGUAGAUAACUAUGUGUUGGUUGAUUGAUUCUAAAGAGUGACGUUUUAGAUAUUUUGAGCAGUUAAACCUUUGCUUGCUACUCACUCUUGGCAGUUGAAGCCUUUGUUUAUUUCACAUCAAAAUGGAUAGAGCAUACUCAUUUCUGAAAAAGGUUUUUUGAGCCACACAAGGGCGAAAAAAAGAGUUUGGUUUAGGUUGAAAGAUUUUAUAUGGACUAGGAUAAUCGUUUGAGCAAGGUGUGCCCCGAGCGUUCGUUCACCCAAGGCUUUUAAAGAGAUGUGCAUCUAUUUAUCAUCCAUUUUUAUAAAGAUUUAAUCUUUGCGGAAUAUGAGUAAACAUUUGAGCAUAUGUGUGCACCAAACGUGCGUUUAUUCGGGAUUCACAUGGAUGUGCACCCAAUUGUCCCUUUACUCCAAGUUGAUUAAAGUGUUUUAGAUUUAAAGACUAAUAAUCAUUUUGAAACAGGUGUGCUCCGAGCGCUCGACUAUUAAGGGGUUUAAAGAGAUGUGCAUCUCUCGGUCCUUUGUCUUUCAAUUUUAAUAAGAAAAUAUUUUCAACGUUACACUUAUUCAAGAAAAGACUUGAAUCACGUCAAUGCAAAGUUAAUCGAGUUUGAAAAAGUCACUUGGCGUUGGAUCAAGAUUUUGAAAACGUCUACUAAAAAUUAUUUAAUGACUUAUUUAUUUAUUUAUUUAUUUAAUUUCCGUAAUUAAAUAAAUAAACAAAUGAAACUAAUAACAAAUAAAUGAAUAAAAAAAGUUAUUGAUGUGGGAAAAAUAUUUUACUAAAUUACCAUUUAAUAUUAUUAUUAUUACUAUUUAAAUCAAUUAUUAAAAAUAAAAUUCUAUAAUAAUAAUAAUAAUAAAAAAUAAAGGGGUGCAAAAACAGAAAACCAAGACCGCAGAUAACAUAGGCCCAAUGCCCAAUAAUUCCACAAUGAAGAAAGACUAUAUAAAAAGUGCUGAAAAAAAAAGGUGUGAAUAACAAGCCUAAUACAUAAUCCCACUAGUAUUGGGUCAACAGUCAACCCAAGGGAGGAGAGUCAAUGUUCAUUUACUCAAUCCAGACCCUUGGAUCAAAUAGUCAUGAGAUCGUAGAGGAAUGGAAAUGCGUGCAUAAGAGCUAUGGUGAGGGGAUCCAUAUGGGAUCCCAUGGUUGACCUAAGGUUAACGCAAAUGUGAGGUGGCUUGAUGCGCCACUUAGCCUGCAUGCAAAAGACCAAAGAGAGGGAGUUGAAAUGUGUGCACGGGGGGAAAGAGUUCAUUUAGAAACUAUUCUCUCUCUCUCUCUUUUCUCACUCAGAGAGCUUCAAUGCUUCCUCUUCUUCUCACAUGAACAUUGGUGGUGUUCUUCACAAAGCACCUUGCUCCGCCAUGGAGUCCAUCGAGAAUCCCAAAUUCCGGUUGAAGCACAAUCGGAGCCAUCAACCGGACCACCACCUCUGCCCAGUUUCCAACCAAACACCUUCAAAUCCAUUCCCUUCCAACAUAAAUCCUACCUCAAUCUUUCUUUUAAACCCAUUUCUUCCUCAAAAAACCCUUCAAUCACUGAGAUCAAAACCUACAGUUUCAAAAAACCCAACCCCUCAAUCUCCAAAAAUCAGACCAAAUUAACCCAUAAACCCUCAAAUAAACAACAUCCACAACAUGAAAUCACGAGAAAAAUAACAUAUCAACAUGAAAACAAGUCAAACAUAGUUCAAAUCAAGCAAUCAACAUAGGUUUUACACCAAGCCUAGUUUAAUUCCAAACACAACAAUAUAAGCAUCAACAACAAAAGGAUUUCAUACUACUAAUAGAAAGAAUAAUGUUAGUGUCCAGAAGUUACUAGAGUGAAGGCUCCAUAAGGCUUGGUCACAUGUUUUGGGAUGGAUUGUGCAUAGCUUGGCCUUGAAGAAAUGGAGCGGGGGUGCAACCGAAUGGCAAAAUUUUGGGGUUGUGGAAGCUUGUAUAAUUUGGGUCCAAGUGUGAAAAACUUCUUGUAAUUUAGUUUGGCACUUUGUAGUUUUUAAGAACUUGUACGAUUUGAAUUUAAAUGGUAGUAAAAACUUGUAGUGUGACUUAGUCCUUUGUACUACUUAAAAUGAAAUAAAAAAUGUUUUGGAUAA